AGUUAUCAGCGUAGGGUACAGAGGUAAGAUGUUCUAUCUUUCAGACCUUUUACUUCACGUAAUUGGAUUUGGCUAAGUAUUAGCCGCCUCAGUCAUUUUAUGACUGGGACGUUUUUUA
RNAcentral lists this non-coding RNA (118 nucleotides) under Candidatus Sodalis pierantonii str. SOPE. The record is from RNAcentral. Lineage: Bacteria; Pseudomonadati; Pseudomonadota; Gammaproteobacteria; Enterobacterales; Bruguierivoracaceae.